CGCACACUUGCGUCCCGUCUCACGUGUUUGAGAGAGCUCGCGGUCGCCGCGUUGAAGACGAUCUCUAAAGAUGAUUAUACGAUGGCACCGUCAGAAGCGUGUCGGCCCAGCACGUGCUCGCACGUGAGAGGAGACGAUUUUCUGACUGCCCUCAAUCCCUGAAGGAACUGAUGUAAAUAAAGACCUAGAAACGCUGAAGUUCUGGCCUCCCAGGGAAUGAUUAGUUUGACUGGUUAAGUAUGCGGGUAAGUGAUGUGAGAACCGUUAAGAUGCUUUAAUGCUGCAGCUAUUGAAUUCAGAGCCUUGUGUAAACAUUUGUAAGGAAAAAUUUAAAAAAUACUUACCUACUUAACGUCUAUGGAGGAACAGGACCAGAACAAAAACCUCAACUGGUGCUUUCAUCCGUGAGGGAUUAGAUGUUUUGGGCAUUUAGCCAGAGCAGCUCUGACUUGCGGAUGUUCUAAUCAUUAUAGUUACUUGUUUGAAUUUCCUUUUGUUUUUUGAUGUGCAAGACCUCUAGAUGGGGCACUUAUGUAGACUGCCGAAGUAUCUUAAUGAACAUUAAUUGAAUUAUCUUUUCCAUGUGUGCUUAUAUAAAUAAACAUGGUUGGCACAGGGUAUUAAGCGAGAAUGUUGUCUGAUUUCAUCUGUUUAGAUGCUGGAUUUGUAAGAAGUCCUAAAACCCUUUAAAAUAAACAA
Electrophorus electricus (electric eel) is the source of this 699-nucleotide non-coding RNA. The record is from RefSeq and is a predicted model, not a curated record. NCBI's taxonomy places the organism in Eukaryota, Metazoa, Chordata, Actinopteri, Gymnotiformes, Gymnotidae.